CGGGCCUUGUACACACCGCCCGUCACGCCAUGAGAGUUAUUUGUACCCAAGUUACUUUAGCUAACCCGUAAGGGAGGCGUGUACCUAAGGUAUGGGUGAUGAUCGGGGUG
Molecule: ribosomal RNA, 110 nt
Filed under: uncultured bacterium
Lineage: Bacteria
Description: partial 16S ribosomal RNA
Rfam family: Bacterial small subunit ribosomal RNA
Source: RNAcentral